AUGCAAGAGCUCGUGGUGAAAUCGUGGGCUGCACCCCAAUCGGCGCGCACCCACUCUUGCUACGAAGGCCAUGUUCAUAUGCAUCAUGUCCCCCAUGUUUCUUCGGGCGACGAUUGCUAUGUCUGUUUGAAUGCUGUUUGUGUGAGUUCCACAAUAAAAGCAUGUUACAAUCAGCGAAAGAACUUUACUGCCUCUUACACUCAUCACUGUGUCACUCGCCCUGUCUCAGAACAGUGCAGAGCCACAACCCAUGAUUAUACUGGCCUCGCGAGAGUGCCAACACCACAUAAACACGGUGUCACCCUCAAUGUUCAAAUGCAUCAUGUCCCCCAUGUUUCUCCGGGCGACGAUUGCUAUGUCUGUUUGAAUGCUGUUUGUGUGAGUUCCACAAUAAAAACAGGUAUACAAUCAGCGAAAGAACUUUACUGCCUCUUACACUCAUCACUGUGUCACUCGCCCUGUCUCAGAACAGUGCAGAGCCACAACCCAUGAUUAUACUGGCCUCGCGAGAGUGCCAACACCACAUGAACACGGUGUCACCCUCAAUGUUCAGAUGCAUCAUGUCCCCCAUGUUUCUUCGGGCGACGAUUGCUAUGUCUGUUUGAAUGCUGUUUGUGUGAGUUCCACAAUAAAAGCAUGUUACAAUCAACUAAAGAGCUUUACUUCCUCUUACACUCAUCUCUGUGUCACUCGCCCUGUCUCAGAACAGUGCAGAGCCACAACCUAUUAUUAUAAUGGCCUCGCGAAGGAGCGAGAGUGCCAACACCACAAAGACACAUGCAUCAUGUCCCCCACAUCACUAUGGGUGACGAUUGCUAUAUGUGUUUAAAUGAUGUUUUUGUGAGUAAAAAUUGGACUAAAGAAGCAUAUAUACAAAUUCUUGCACCCAACGUUGUGUCACUCGCCCUGUCUCAAACAGCGCAGAGCCACAGUCCAUGGUUAUAAUGGCCUCAUGAGGGCGCAAGAGUGUCACACCAUUUCGCGACGCGCCCGCCCUCCCGCCAGUGCUUCCAGCCUCGCGGGGGCGGGGCCCUGAUUAAAAUAAGCCAUCAGUGGCUGUAGACGUAACGCGUCCGCCGUGUCAUCUCAUGGACGGUAAGAGGGCUAUCCCGGGCGUUUCACCGUGGAUACUGGGAAUAAUUCACGACGGAUAUUCUCUCCAAUUCAAACGCAGACCUCCCCGCUUCAAUGGCGUGGUCCCGUCACUGACUUUGCCCCAAAACCGUCCUGUUCUGCGACAGGAAGUUCUCAGUCUGCUCGAGAGAGAGCGAUAGAGCGAAAUUUCCCCUCAGAUCGAGCGGAAUGCGCAUGUUGAAUUAUCUGGACGAUUGGCUGAUUUUAGCCCACUCAAGAGAUGUGCUAUCAGUCACGUGGAAACAAUGCUUCGCCGUUUGGAUACGCUGGGACUGCGUGUGAAUAUGCAGAAGAGCGUGUUUUUACGAGUCGGACUGUAACAUAUCUGGGAAUAUGUUUGGACUCGAUGGCGAUACAAGCCCAUCUCUCUCUAGAGCAUUUCAUCGACUCUGCGCUGUUUCUGACUGGGCAGGUCGUUUGCACUGAGGGAAUUUCAGAGGCUUCUGGGACUGAUGGCGGCGGCUUCUUCAGUGUGCCAUCUGGGUCUGCUACAUUGCGGCCGCUACAGUUUUGGCUGUAACUCGAGUUCCGCCGAGGGCGUGGUCUUCGGUCCACAAGCACUUACGGUCAUUCACAGUUGCGUCAGCACUCUGAGACCGUGGAACAGCCCGGAAAUGUUCAGCCCAGGAGUUCUUUUCUCUGCGAACGCGAUCUAGGCUGGGGAGCAGUGCGUCUGGGCCUGUGGUCGGAGUCACAGAGAAGGUGACACAAAACCGUUUGGAAUAAUGGAAGCGGUGUCCUAAUAUCCCUGCAAGCCUUUCGGUCGAAAUUGGAGCGGAAACAUGUACUGAUUCAAACCGACAACACGUCUGUGGUCUCGUACAUAAAUCGCCAGGGCGGCGUGCGCUCCAGAGCUCUAUUCAAACAGGCAGCGAGUUUCCUGUUGUGGGCGGACCGACACUUAAUCUCCAUAGGAGCGUCGCACAUCCCUGGUACUUUGAACCGUGGAGUGAGCAUGCUUUUGAGGAACGGGAUUCCUCAAGGAGAUGUUGGCUUCACCCAAGAUCAGAUCUAAUGUUUUGGGAGGGAGGAAGUGGAUUGUUUGCCACGAGCGAGAACUCGUUUGCUAUCUCACCCCCCCUGCUGGGAGAUGCUCUGACAUCGCGCUGGCCGGAAGCCAGGCUUACACAUUCCCUCCUGUGAAGAUUCUGCCUGUGUUGUGCAAAAUCAGGGAGGAGAAAGCAUCAGUUAUACUCGUGGCCCCGAACUGGCCGAAUCAGCCCUGGUUCGCGGACCUGAGAGAGUUACUGAUGGCUCCCCCAUGGCGAAUCCCCCUCAAGCAGGACCUGCUGUCUCAGGCGAAUGGCACAAUAUAGCACCCCAGCCCCGAGCUGUGGAACCUUCAUGUGUGGCAGCUGCGGGGACCCUAAUGAGCGGGACACUCUGCACUGACGAGUGCUAAACACACUUACUGAGACGCGAGCAUCAUCAAACAUUCGCUGCUACGCGCAGAAGUGGUGAGUUUUCACAAAAUGGUGCGAGAACAUUUAUAUUGACCCGGGGACCUGUUCAGUGUCGGAUGUUUUGCGCUUUCUACAGCACAGUUGGAUAGCGGGAGUUUGAAACCAUCCACGCUGAAGGUGUAUGUGACCGCUAUUGCCGCUUUCGUUCCCCGGUUACGGGUAAACAAACGGUAAGCACGCUCUGGUAUUCAGUUUUCUCAGGGGAGCAAGUAGAUUGUGUACUUCAUGGCCGCCCUCCGUGGGAUUUCGCUCUAGUUUUGAGGGCUCUAUCUGCUAUUACCGUUCGAGCCAUUAGCUUCGAUUGCGGUUAAGGAGCUUCCCUGAAGACUGCCUUGCCUCUUGCUCUCGCCUCAGCGAAGUGCCUUGGAGAAUUUCGUGAGUGUUUGGUGAACGAUAUUGCAUUGGUUUCGGGCCUGGCGACUGUAAUGUCACUCUCCGGCCGAGACCGGGUUUCGUUUCGAAGUGAAGUCACUCAAUACACCGUUUUGUUUCCCUGCCCGCCUUAUCUGUUGAGCUGUCAGCCUCGCGCGACGCUGAUGCUCAGAGCGCCAGGACCCUGUUAGGGUUUUACGGAUGUAUAUGAAUUGCUCGGCCGCCUUUCGUCAGUCGGACCAGCUGUUCGUGUGCUUGGUGGAUGUAAUAAGGGACGUGCUGUUUCUAAACAGAGACUUUCUCACUGGAUCGUGGACGCUAUCAAAUGCCAGGGGAAGGAUUACCCCCUCAACAUCAGAGCUCAUUCUGCGAGGACAUUAUAAAUGCUUCCUGAUGGGCCUGGUCUAGAGGUAUGUCUGUCCAGUAUUUAUGUUUUGCUGCUGGCUGGUCUUCCCAGAACACAAUCGCCAGGUUUUACAAGCUGGAUGUACCCUCUGUAGCGUCACAUGUUUUUCGGUGAGUUAAGUUUUAUUCAUUAAAGCUGUUAUAACCAGCUAUACAGUAGUUACCAUGGCUGCUAACUCUGUGUUAUGGUUUAAAUGGUUUAUGCAGCAGUCACCGCAAACGCCGUCGACUCUGUUUAACUCUCAUGCUUGAGUGCUUAUUGCUUUGUGUCUGCCCUGGUUAGUGCAGAUUUCGAUAUAUUGCUUGAAGUUAUGCAUAUUUUGUUAGGGUCGGAGCAGAUGUCUCAUUGGCCUAGUUCCGCCUAUCAGAUGCAAGCACUCUUAGCGACAAGGCCAUUGGCUAGAACUGUACUGCUUGUGUGAGGGUGAUUGACUCCGUUCAGGGCUUAUCUUCACUGCUCUCACGGCGGGAUUUUAUACAGUUCCCAUAUACGUCUUAGCUGACGUAAUGUUGAGUUACCGCCUCGAGAGGGAACGUCUCCGGUUACUAUCGUAACCUCGGUUCCCUGAGAGGCGGGAACGAGACAUUACGUUAGCCGCCGUGGUCGCUGUUUGAUCAGCUGUGCUAGCGUUCAGUCGUGAUUCUGACGUAAUUUUCGCGCCCAUGCAUUUUAUACUGCACGCUUACCCGCCAGUAUUUGCAUGCUUCGCGUCAAUUAGCCAGCUGUCCCCAGCUGGCGUUAGCCAAUAAGAUUUCAGUGAAAGUGGAGAAGGUAAGAGUUCCCAUAUACGUCUUAGCUGACGUAAUGUCUCGUUCCCGCCUCUCAGGGAACCGAGGUUACGAUAGUAACCGGAGACGUUUUACUGUGGUAUAGUAAUAGCACAUUAAUCACCGAAUUAACUAUAGUUGUACCACUGUAAUGGUAGUGUUUUAAUGUGCUUUUAUAUGACUUAUUUCACAGUAAUCACAUUUACUGUACCAUGCUUGUAAUAACUUUUUAAUGUAAAAAAAAAAAAAAAAAAAAAAAAAAAACAUUUUUCCCAUCUUGCAGUUCAAUUCAUAUUUGUUUAUAUCUUAAAUAUUUUGCUCACAGAUCACUAUUAACAUUGUGUAUAUAAUUCUGUUUUAUUUUCUUUCCCCUUGUAUUAAUUUU
RNAcentral lists this long non-coding RNA (4527 nucleotides) under Carassius auratus (goldfish). Its description in RNAcentral is "lncRNA (ENSCARG00000049979.1)". Lineage: Eukaryota; Metazoa; Chordata; Actinopteri; Cypriniformes; Cyprinidae. The record is from RNAcentral.